Dipodomys ordii (Ord's kangaroo rat) is the source of this 65-nucleotide non-coding RNA. Lineage: Eukaryota; Metazoa; Chordata; Mammalia; Rodentia; Heteromyidae. The record is from Rfam.
GGUGGCUCAGUGGUAGAGUGCUUGUCUUGCAUGCAUGAGGCCCUAGGUUCAAUUCCUCAGCACCA